AUUGAACGCUAGCGGGACGCUUUACACAUGCAAGUCGAACGGCAGCGCGGACUUCGGUCUGGCGGCGAGUGGCGAACGGGUGAGUAAUGUAUCGGAACAUGCCCAGUAGCGGGGGAUAACUACGCGAAAGCGUAGCUAAUACCGCAUACGCCCUACGGGGGAAAGCAGGGGAUCGUAAGACCUUGCACUAUUGGAGCGGCCGAUAUCGGAUUAGCUAGUUGGUGAGGUAACGGCUCACCAAGGCGACGAUCCGUAGCUGGUUUGAGAGGACGACCAGCCACACUGGGACUGAGACACGGCCCAGACUCCUACGGGAGGCAGCAGUGGGGAAUUUUGGACAAAGGGGGCAACCCUGAUCCAGCCAUCCCGCGUGUGCGAUGAAGGCCUUCGGGUUGUAAAGCACUUUUGGCAGGAAAGAAACGUCGCGGGCUAAUACCCCGUGGAACUGACGGUACCUGCAGAAUAAGCACCGGCUAACUACGUG
RNAcentral lists this ribosomal RNA (484 nucleotides) under uncultured bacterium. RNAcentral's name for it is "partial 16S ribosomal RNA". It matches the Rfam family "Bacterial small subunit ribosomal RNA", at positions 30 to 507 of the family's 1533-position model. The record is from RNAcentral.